This 549-nucleotide ribosomal RNA is filed under the name uncultured Glomus. RNAcentral describes it as "SSU rRNA". It matches the Rfam family "Eukaryotic small subunit ribosomal RNA", at positions 548 to 1098 of the family's 1831-position model. Lineage: Eukaryota; Fungi; Glomeromycota; Glomeromycetes; Glomerales; Glomeraceae. The record is from RNAcentral.
UUGGAGGGCAAGUCUGGUGCCAGCAGCCGCGGUAAUUCCAGCUCCAAUAACGUAUAUUAAAGUUGUUGCAGUUAAAAAGCUCGUAGUUGAAUUUCGAGACCGGCUUACUGGUCGUGCUAUUGUACGUACUGGUAUAAUCGGUUUCUCCUUUCUGACGAACUAUAAUGCCAUUAAUUUGGUGUUUUAGGGAAUCAGGACUGUUACUUUGAAAAAAUUAGAGUGUUUAAAGCAGGCUCACGCUUGAAUACAUUAGCAUGGAAUAACGGAAUAGGACGUUUGAUUCUAUUUUGUUGGUUUCUAGGAUCGACGUAAUGAUUAAUAGGGAUAGCUGGGGGCAUUAGUAUUCAAUUGUCAGAGGUGAAAUUCUUGGAUUUAUUGAAGACUAACUACUGCGAAAGCAUUUGCCAAGGAUGUUUUCAUUAAUCAAGAACGAAAGUUAGGGGAUCGAAGACGAUCAGAUACCGUCGUAGUCUUAACCAUAAACUAUGCCGACUAGGGAUCGGAUGAUGUUAAUUUUUUAAUGACUCAUUCGGCGCCUUACGGGGAAAC